CCUCGGUUCCUCGGGUCCGAACCUACACAGGUGGACUCAAAUGAGGGACCAAACAUACAUGAACAUGACUCUAAAAUACUCUCCAAAAACCCCCUAAAACAUCACAAACAUGCAUAGAAAAUCAUGCAAAGGAAGGCUGAACAGGGCACUUUCGGCGGCAGGUUCGGCGGCCGAAAGUCCCUCCAGAGCCAAAAGUCAUGCACCUUCAGCGGCACUUUCGGCGGCCGAAGGUUCCUUCCAGGGACGAAACUCAUGCAUGUUCAGCGGUACCUUCGGCGGCCGAAACUCCCUUCUAGAGCCGAAAGUCCACUUUCGGGGGCAGGGUUCUGCAGCCAAAGGCUGGCCUCCACAGACAGGUUCGGCGGCCGAAAGUCCCUUCGGCUGCCGAACCUGAGUUCUUCCAAAGGGCAGAACUCAGCCUCCACAAUGCACAUUUGCCUCCGAAACCAUUCCAACUCAAAACCAACACUUCCAAAACAUGCAUACAUAUUUCCAUUAGCAAAAAGGGGUCUUAAACUAGCCUAAACUCCAACCAAAACACAUCAAACAUAUAUAUACAACAUACAUUGCUCAAAACUCAACAUUAACCCAUAAACUCAAUAAUAACCUAAACAUGCAUUUCUACCCUACAAAUCUUAUAAAACUUGUUUAAAACAUAGAAUGAGCUAAAGAUCUACUCUUACCUCUUGAAGAUCGAGAGGAGAGGCGAUCUAACUCGGAAAUGGGGGAGAUCUAACUCCUUGGGUCUCCAAGCCUCAAAACUUGCUCUUUUUGCUCAAAUAUCUUCAAACCAAGGUAAAACUUGUUAAAACUCGAAAGAUUGGAGGAAAACAUCAAAAAUCAACCAUGGGAGAGCAUGGACUCACCGUUGGCCGAAAACGGGGAGAAAGCUCGCCCGUUUCGGCCAUGGAGCCCUAUUAUAGGGGCUGGCCAGACCACCUUCGGAAGUCUAAAGUGCCUCCAAAACUCAUGCAAGUUCGGCGGCCGAACAUGAGGUUCGACGGCCGAACUUGAGCCUCUUUUGGAAGCCUAACUUACCCUCCUAAACUAUCCCAUGUUCGGUGGCCGAAUUUGAGGUUUGGCGGCCGAACCUAGAAAUGCCUCCAUGGUCUUUUUCAUUCAAAACUCAACUUCUUUCUUACUUAAAAUCAUAAAACACAUUAAAAUAUUUUAUGAAAACAUGAUUUUACCCUUCUAGAGGUUUUCGACAUCCGAGAUUCCACCGGACGGUAGGAAUUCUGAUACCGGAGUCUAGCCGGGUAUUACAUAUUCUGCCUAAUUUAAUUUCUUUGAUCAUCAAAAUAUUUGAAGGAAAUUCUGCAGAAUCAAUUUAAGAACAGAGGAUUAAUUUAGACUAAAGAAACAACAAUAUUCAAUGCUUCUGCUUGAAACACGAUAUUCCUUCUGUUGCUUAUUGAAUUCAAGAGGUGCCUAUUAUAUAGGCUCGUUACAUGUGGAAGAGGAAAACAAACACCAGAAAAAUAGCACACGUUCUUGACGUGUUUUCAUGAACUGAAAAGAAAAAACAACAAACAAACUAAUUGAACGUGUAGAGAUACUGGCAGAAGGAUAGGGGAGCCGUAACUGAAAGUUGAAUCAUUCUCCUACAUCCCCCCUUGAUUCAAAUUUGCAGACACCAAUUUUAGCCCUUAAGUAGUCAUGCUUGCUUCGAGCAAGAGACUUGAUCAGUAUAUCAACAGCUUGUUCAUUGGUACUACAGUAUUUUAGAAUUAUACUUCCUUCAGCUACAAGCUCACGAAUAAAAUGAGCUCUAAUAUCAAUGUGCUUAGCUCUCCCAUGAUAAACUGGAUUCCUUGUCAUUGCUAUCGUUGAUUUACUAUCACACCAUAUCUCAGUUGCUUUCUCUUGCUCUUGCCCAAGGUCUGACAGCAUUCUUCUCAACCACACCGCCUGACACGCUGAAGAGGUUGCUGCAAUAUACUCAGCUUCUGAGGAUAAUAAUGCGAUGGACGCCUGUUUUUUUGAGCUCCAUGAUAUGGCUCCUGAUCCGAGACUGAAAAUAUACCCUGAAGUACUUUUUCUAUCCUCCUUACAGCCUGCCCAAUCACUAUCCGUAUACCCAAACAAAUCAGAGCUAUUUUUCUGUUCAUACCAAAUCCCAUAAUCCACAGUUUCAGCCACAUAUCUCAGAAUCCUUUUUGCUGCUCCAAGGUGAUUUCUUGAGGGAAAGUGCAUGAACCUUGAGAUAACUCCCAUAGAGAAGGCAAUGUCUGGUCGUGUAUGAGUCAAAUAAAUCAAACCACCAACCAAACUUCUAAAAAAACCCUCAUCUGCCUGUUUUGUACCAUCAUUAAGCUAGAGUUUUUCAUUUGUGUUCAUGAGAGUAGGAGCAGUCUUGCAAUUCUCCAUUUUGAAACGCUGAAGUAAAUUCUCAGCAUAUUUCUUUUGGGAGAUGAAUAUUCCUCCUUCAACCUGUUUUACUUCUAUUCCAAGGAAAAAAUGCAGUAAACCCAGGUCAGUCAUUUCAAAUUCUUUUUUCAUAUUUGAUCAAAAAUCUUCCAAUAAUGAUGUGGAGGAGCUCAUGUAGAUCAUGUCAUCUACAUAUAGACAGACAAACAGAGAACUUUUAUCCUGAUUCUUCAUAUAGAGCGUGGGCUCAUUCUUGUUUCUCUCGAACCCAUUUGAUAAGAAAUAGGCAUCAAUUCUUGAGUACCAAGCUCGAGGUGCUUGCUUUAAUCCGUAUAGUGCCUUCCUCAGCUUGUAAACAUGUUCUUCUUUUCCACAGAUUGCAAAACCUUCAGGUUGAUUGACAUACACUUCUUCUUCUCAUUCUCCAUUUAAGAAGGCUGAUUUCAUGUCAAACUGGUACACAAGCCAACCUUGUUUUGCUGCUAGAGCAAGAAGAGUCCUUACUGUUUCAAACCUUGCAACAGGAGAAAAAGUUUCUUCAUAGUCCACUCCUUGCCGCUAUGAAUACCCCUUGGCCACCAACCGAGCUUUAUGCUUUUGUACACUCCCAUUUGCAUUGAACUUAGUUUUGAAAACCCACUUUACACCGAUUGGUUUCUUGCCUUCAGGAAGUGUUGUUAGCUCCCAGGUUUUAUUCCUUUCAAUUGCUUCAAGUUCCUCGUGCAUGGCUAGAACCCAUUGCUUCUUGCUUGCUGCUAAUGAAAUAGGAUCUGCAAUAUACAAAGCAUGAGUAGUUUCAUAGAUUUCUUGGAGUGAUCGUACUCGUCUCGGUGGUGAUUCAUCAGUUGAACUCGAGCUUUGAGGGCUUGUUGAAGAGCUUCCCGAAGCAAUUGAAGUUCUCGAAGGACUUGCAACAGAAGACUCCGACGAUGCCGAGACUCCUGGAGAAUUCAAUUGGGUUUGUGGUUGUUCCUCCAUGAGUUGUUCCUCAUGGAUUUCUGGGAUCUCAAAGUGAAUGCUUCCUUUUUCAUCCUCAGUCCAAUUCCAUCGCGCUUCUUCAUCAAAAAUGACAUUUCUACUGAUAAUAAUAUUCCCAUUGAUGGGAUUGUACAAUCUGUACGCUUUAGCAUUAAUGCAAUAUCUCACAAAAAUACACUUUGUUGACUUUUGAUCAAGCUUCCCACGUUUAUGAGCCUCAACAAACACAUAUGCAAGGCAGCCAAAGAUUCUUAAGUGACUUACCCCGAGGUCUCCUGCCCGUCCACACUUCAUACGGUGUUCGAUUCGGUACUGCCUGUGUUGGUGAGAUAUUCAAAAUGUAUACUGAAGUGGUCACUGCUUCCCUCCAAAAUUGAGUUGGUAACUCUUUAGCCUGCAACAUAGUUCUGGCCAUCUCUACCACAGUCUUGUUCUUCCUUUCGGCUACUCCGUUUUGCUCAGGAGUGUAUGGGGCCGUGAGCUCUCUAUGAAUUCCAUGUUCUUCACAAAAACUGUUAAACUCUUUGGACGUGAAUUCUCCUCCUCUAUCAGUCCUUAGUGUCUUGAUGCAUUCUCCAAUCUGCUUUUCUACCAGUACCUUAAACUUCUUGAAAGCAUUUAAGACCUCCGAUUUGAAGUGUAGGAAGUACACCCAGCUCAUCCUACUAUAAUCAUUUGUGAACAACAAAAAAUACCUACUUCCACCAAGUGAUUCAGUUCUCAUAGGACCACAAACAUCAGAUGUAAGAGCUCAAGAUUGCUAGUGGCCCUCCAUGAUUUACCCAUAGGAAAAGACUUCCUACUUUGUUUUCCAUAAACACAAGCUUCACAUAAAUCAAUAUAUUCAACAGCAGGCAGGCCAGACACCAUAUCUUUCUUAUACAAUAAUUGCAGACCCUUUAUAUUUAAAUGUCCAUAUCUAUGAUGCCAAAUUCUAGAUUUAUUUUUCCUUUCCACCAUUAAUACCCUUUUUUCAAUACUUGAUAUGUUAAGUGGAAACAAUUUGUUCUUUGUCAUAUUUACCUCGACAAGAAUUUGCUUAGUUUGCUGAUUCUUGAUCAAGCACUUGGAGCGUUCAAACAGCACAGAGAAGCCACUGGUCACAAGCUGUCCAACACUGAGGAGAUUCUGGGUUAGGCUUGGAACAAAGAAGACUUCAUGUAACAGCCUUGUUUCAGCUCCAUUUUGGAUAGCAAUUGUCCCUUUGCCUUCUACUUACAUCUGCUUAUCAUCACCAAGUCUCACCUUGAGCUUGUAGUUCUCAUCCAGCUCUUUGAAUAGUGAACGUAUGCCUGUCAUAUGAUUAGAGCAUCCACUAUCCAAAAACCAGAUAUCAUCUGAGGUCUCAUUGAGCUCAAGAUCAGCCAUAAAGAGUUUGAACUCAUCCUCUCCAUCAUCUUCUUCUUCAUUUGCUUCUUCUACAUAGUUAACCUGACUUGCUCUUUUCCAACAAUUUUCCUUGAUGUGCCCAAAACGUUUGCAGUAAUGGCAUUGGAUAGGUUGCCUCUGCCCAUCUCGUUGCCCUCGUCCUCGACUUACACCUCUUCCUCGGCCUCUCAGAUCAUUUUGCCUGCUAUCACCACGUGUGAUUCUUUCCAACGUUGAGGUUUCUCGCUUUAUAUGAAAGGCUUUCUCUUCCUCAUGUUCUGAACUACGAUUCAAUCUUUCUUCAUGAGCUAGCAAUGAACCCAUUAGUUCAUCAAACGUAAAUGUUGACAAAUCCUUGGAUUCUUCAAUUGCAGUAACUACGUGAUCAAAUUUAGGAGUCAAGCUUCUUAACACCUUUGCCACCACAGUUGAGUCUAAGCAUUGUUCCCAAAGACCUCUCAUCUUGCUCACCACAGUCGAAACCCUGGAGAGGUAGUCUUGCAUAGAUUCUUCAUGUUUCAUCAUUGAAAUUUCAAAUUCUCGCCGUAAAGACUGCAACUUGACCAUAAUUACUUUCUUAUCUCCUUGAAAUUCCUUCUGCAAGAUUUUCCAGGCCUUUUGAGAUGUUGACGCUACCAUGAUUUUGGAGAAUAUGCUCUCAUGGACAGCUUGCUGGAUAAAGAAGAGUGCUUUUGAAUCCCAUUUUUUGUUCUCUUUCAAUCGAGCUUCAUCAUCUGAAUCAGCAUAUCCAUUCUCCACCAGAUCCCAUAAGUCCUGAGACUUGAACAGCGUUUUCAUUUUGAUGCUCCAAAACUCAUAUUUUUCUCCAGUAAAGACUGGAAUCAAAGGUUGAGAAGCAGUCAUUGCAUUUGAACUUGCCAUUGAUGCAAACAGAAGACACAUAUAACUCUCCCUCUCCCUCACGUGUUUCCCAACAAAACUCAACUUUUCUGUAACGACCCGGAAACCGGACCGCUACCGGCGCUAGGAUUCAGGUCGGCUUAAGGCCGCCGGAACCCGUAGCAAGCCAAACAUACAUCCUGUGAACCUGUUCAAUCCCAUACAUGAACCAAAACAUACAUAAAAAUUAAAACUUUUCUUUCAUUCAAACAUUUCUUUACCCAGCCUAGCCUGUGCAUGCAUAACCAUAACAUAAACCCCCCCUCAUUGGAGUUCUCAACAAAUACUCCAAUGGGAUACAUAACAUGUAUUAGGCUUGGGUUACAUAAACAUCAUAAAACAUUUAUCUCAUGUAUUUAAGGGAUUACAACAGACUCUAGUCAAGCACACUAUAAAACUUACAUUACAUUACAUAACAUACUUUUACAUUACAACCAAACCAUGUCCACUUCUAUGCUAUUACAGAGACUUCUCUUACUCUUGCUGACUUCUCUAUCUACUCUGCACCUGCAAGACUGGGGUCAGGGGAGAGGGGUGAGCUAAAAAGCCCAGUGAGCAAAAGGUAAAAACAUGAUAUUAAUUCCUCCAUUUUUAGGUAUUUUAUUCUCCAUUUUAUUAUUAACAUUUGCUUUAAUUCCACACUUUUUAGGUAUAUUAUUAUUCAUUUUAUUAAUAGCAUUAAAUAACAUAACUUUUACUUUACAUGCUUUCAUGAAAUGCAACACAUCAUAUUUAAUCACAUAAAGGAUAGUAUUGUCACCAUUAGUCCUCACAUCUCCAAGUGCCAGGGGCGUAGAAUGGGCCUCGCUGGUCUUUCUCUUACAUAACAUACAUAUCAUAACAUUCCAAAGUGCCAGGGGCGUAGAAUGGGCCUCGCUGGUCUUUCUCUUACAUAAUGCCAGGGGCGUAGAAUGGGCCUCACUGGUCUUCCAUAACAAAUCAUCAUAACAUAACAUUAGAGGACUAUGGAUCACCCAAUAACCAUCCACAUCAACAUCAAAUUAUGCAAUGCAACAUAUUCGUGAAUUUCUAAUGCAAACAUCCUGAAACAUCGCAUGGCAUUAAUGAUGCAUGAGUAUGCUAUCAGAUUCAUUCAUUUGUUCAUUCAUUCAUUACUUAAAAAACUUAGGGAAUAAUCCCACUCACCUGGUGACUAAAGCUUUAACGACGGACUCUGAAAGACUAUCUCACAACCGGGGGUCUCGGGUCCUCGGGUCCGAACUUACAUAGGUGGACUCAAAUGAGGCACCAAACAACAAGAACAUAACUCUAAACAUACCCCCAAAAACCUCCUCAAAACACCUCAAAACAUCCCUAGAAAACAUGCAAGAAAAGGCUGGGAAGGGCACUUUCGGCGGCACCUUCGGCGGCCGGAAGUCCCUCCAGAGCCGAAAGUCAGGCAGGUUCGGCGGCNNN
This 7032-nucleotide long non-coding RNA is filed under the name Manihot esculenta (cassava). RNAcentral's name for it is "long non-coding RNA (MESC_LNC008001)". Lineage: Eukaryota; Viridiplantae; Streptophyta; Magnoliopsida; Malpighiales; Euphorbiaceae. The record is from RNAcentral.